ACAUGCAAGUCGAGCGAGGCAGCAAUGCCGAGCGGCGAACGGGUGAGUAACGCGUAAGCAAUCUGCCCCAUAUCAGGAAAUACCCGUGCCAACGCGCGGUUAAUGUCCAGGAGAGUGGCCUUCGCAUGGAGGGUUGACUAGAGAUUUAUCGGUAUGGGAUGAGCUUGCGUCCGAUUAGCUAGUUGGCGGGGCAACGGCCCACCAAGGCGACGAUCGGUAGCCGGCCUGAGAGGGUGAUCGGCCACAUUGGGACUGAGAUACGGCCCAGACUCCUACGGGAGGCAGCAGUAGGGAAUAUUGCACAAUGGGGGAAACCCUGAUGCAGCAACGCCACGUGUGGGAAGAAGCAUUUCGGUGUGUAAACCACUGUCAUGAGGGAAUAAGGCCCGCCUUCGGACGGGAUUGAAUGUACCUUGAGAGGAAGCACCGGCAAACUUCGUGCCAGCCGCCGC
This 452-nucleotide ribosomal RNA is filed under the name uncultured bacterium. Its description in RNAcentral is "bacterial SSU rRNA". It matches the Rfam family "Bacterial small subunit ribosomal RNA", at positions 53 to 518 of the family's 1533-position model. The record is from RNAcentral.